UGAGCUGCCUGUGAGCUGCCUGUGAGCUGCCUGUGAGCUGCCUGUGAGCUGCCUGUGAGCUGCCUGUGCCUUUCACCCCUGUGACCUCACCUCUGUGUUAACUCCACAGGCAGCGACAACAACUACCACCAGUGGCUAUUCACUGUCAAGGCCCGUCCAUCCAGGCUACUGGUGGCCAAGAGACCUCGCAGCAACGUGGGCCUGGAGAGCAGCCCUGAACAGUAAGACCACCUAGCUACAUAAUACACACACUGAAAACACUAAUCAUCAUCAUCACUGAGCUCAACUUAAGCUACAGUCUCACCAACUCCUAUACUAGAGCUCACCAACUAUAACACACUGUUUUAGUUUGCAUUAGUACAGGGUUCCCCGACUCCAUUCCUGGAUAUAUACUGGGUGUGCAGGCUUUUGCUCAAAUCCUUGCCGUAAUCUAAAAUAUAUACAGUACCAGUCAAAAGUUUGGAAACACCUACUCAUUCAAGGGUUUUUCUUUGUUUUUACUAUUUUCUACAUUGUAGAAUAAUAGUGAAGACAUCAACACUAUGAAAUAACACAUAUGGGAUCAUGUAGUAACCAAAACAGUGUUAAAUAAAUCAAAAUAUAUUUUAGGUUGUCAAAGUAGCCACCCUUUGCCUUGAUGACAGCUUUGCACACUCUUGGCAUUCUCUCAACAAGCUUCUUGAGUUAGACAUCUGGAAUGCAUUUCAAUUAAAAGGUGUGCCUUGUUGAAAGUUCAUUUGUGGAAUUUCUUUCCUUCCUCUCUGAACUACUGAUCCCGUAUCCGGGAGCGUGACUACACCCUCAGGCUCAUUACCAUAACGCAACGUUAACGAUUUCUCAAAAUCGCAAAUGAAAUUAAAUAAAUAUGCCUGCUCUCAAGCUUAGCCUUUUCUUAACAACACUGUCAUCUCAGAUUUUCAAAAUAUGCUUUUGAACCAUAGCAAAUCAAUCAUUUGUGUAAGAGUGAUAAUGGCUGCCGUAGCAU
This 985-nucleotide long non-coding RNA is filed under the name Oncorhynchus kisutch (coho salmon). RNAcentral describes it as "lncRNA (ENSOKIG00005048535.1)". The record is from RNAcentral. Lineage: Eukaryota; Metazoa; Chordata; Actinopteri; Salmoniformes; Salmonidae.